AUGCAAGUCGAGCGGGGNGAGGUAGCUUGCUACUGGACCUAGCGGCGGACGGGUGAGUAAUGCUUAGGAAUCUGCCUAUUAGUGGGGGACAACAUCUCGAAAGGGAUGCUAAUACCGCAUACGUCCUACGGGAGAAAGCAGGGGAUCUUCGGACCUUGCGCUAAUAGAUGAGCCUAAGUCGGAUUAGCUAGUUGGUGGGGUAAAGGCCUACCAAGGCGACGAUCUGUAGCGGGUCUGAGAGGAUGAUCCGCCACACUGGGACUGAGACACGGCCCAGACUCCUACGGGAGGCAGCAGUGGGGAAUAUUGGACAAUGGGCGCAAGCCUGAUCCAGCCAUGCCGCGUGUGUGAAGAAGGCCUUAUGGUUGUAAAGCACUUUAAGCGAGGAGGAGGCUACUUUAGAUAAUACCUAGAGAUAGUGGACGUUACUCGCAGAAUAAGCACCGGCUAACUCUGUGCCAGCAGCCGCGGUAAUACAGAGGGUGCAAGCGUUAAUCGGAUUUACUGGGCGUAAAGCGCGCGUAGGCGGCUAAUUAAGUCAAAUGUGAAAUCCCCGAGCUUAACUUGGGAAUUGCAUUCGAUACUGGUUAGCUAGAGUGUGGGAGAGGAUGGUAGAAUUCCAGGUGUAGCGGUGAAAUGCGUAGAGAUCUGGAGGAAUACCGAUGGCGAAGGCAGCCAUCUGGCCUAACACUGACGCUGAGGUGCGAAAGCAUGGGGAGCAAACAGGAUUAGAUACCCUGGUAGUCCAUGCCGUAAACGAUGUCUACUAGCCGUUGGGGCCUUUGAGGCUUUAGUGGCGCAGCUAACGCGAUAAGUAGACCGCCUGGGGAGUACGGUCGCAAGACUAAAACUCAAAUGAAUUGACGGGGGCCCGCACAAGCGGUGGAGCAUGUGGUUUAAUUCGAUGCAACGCGAAGAACCUUACCUGGCCUUGACAUAGUAAGAACUUUCCAGAGAUGGAUUGGUGCCUUCGGGAACUUACAUACAGGUGCUGCAUGGCUGUCGUCAGCUC
Molecule: ribosomal RNA, 1012 nt
Filed under: Acinetobacter nosocomialis
Lineage: Bacteria; Pseudomonadati; Pseudomonadota; Gammaproteobacteria; Moraxellales; Moraxellaceae
Description: bacterial SSU rRNA
Rfam family: Bacterial small subunit ribosomal RNA
Source: RNAcentral